This 253-nucleotide ribosomal RNA is filed under the name uncultured bacterium. Its description in RNAcentral is "partial 16S ribosomal RNA". It matches the Rfam family "Bacterial small subunit ribosomal RNA", at positions 524 to 776 of the family's 1533-position model. The record is from RNAcentral.
UACAGAGGUCCCAAGCGUUGUUCGGAUUCACUGGGCGUAAAGGGUGCGUAGGCGGUCGGGUAAGUCUGAUGUGAAAUCUCACAGCUUAACUGUGAAACUGCAUUGGAUACUAUCCGGCUAGAGGAAUGGAGGGGAGACUGGAAUACUUGGUGUAGCAGUGAAAUGCGUAGAUAUCAAGUGGAACACCAGUGGCGAAGGCGACACGCUGGGCCAUACCUGACGCUAAAGCGCGACAGCAUGGGGAGCAAACGGG